Molecule: ribosomal RNA, 398 nt
Filed under: uncultured bacterium
Lineage: Bacteria
Description: bacterial SSU rRNA
Rfam family: Bacterial small subunit ribosomal RNA
Source: RNAcentral
GGAAUUUUGGGCAAUGGGGGAAACCCUGACCCAGCAACGCCGCGUGAAGGAUGAAGUAUUUCGGUAUGUAAACUUCGAAAGAAUAGGAAGAAUUAAUGACGGUAAUAUUUAUAAGGUCCGGCUAACUACGUGCAAGCAGCCACGGUAAUACGUAGGGACCAAGCGUUGUUCGGAUUUCCUGGGCGUCAAGGGCGCGUAGGCGGCAUGACAAGUCACUUGUGAAAUCUCCGGGCUUAACUCGGAACGGUCAAGUGAUACUGGUGAGCUAGAGUGCAGAAGGGGCAAUCGGAAUUCUUGGUGUAGCGGUGAAAUGCGUAGAUAUCAAGAGGAACACCUGAGGUGAAGACGGGUUGCUGGGCUGACACUGACGCUGAGGCGCGAAAGCCAGGGGAGCAAAC